GAUGAACGCUGGCGGCGUGCCUAAUACAUGCAAGUCGAGCGAACAGACGAGGAGCUUGCUCCUCUAACGUUAGCGGCGGACGGGUGAGUAACACGUGGAUAACCUACCUAUAAGACUGGGAUAACUUCGGGAAACCGGAGCUAAUACCGGAUAAUAUAUUGAACCGCAUGGUUCAAUAGUGAAAGACGGUUUUGCUGUCACUUAUAGAUGGAUCCGCGCCGCAUUAGCUAGUUGGUAAGGUAAUGGCUUACCAAGGCAACGAUGCGUAGCCGACCUGAGAGGGUGAUCGGCCACACUGGAACUGAGACACGGUCCAGACUCCUACGGGAGGCAGCAGUAGGGAAUCUUCCGCAAUGGGCGAAAGCCUGACGGAGCAACGCCGCGUGAGUGAUGAAGGUCUUCGGAUCGUAAAACUCUGUUAUUAGGGAAGAACAAAUGUGUAAGUAACUAUGCACGUCUUGACGGUACCUAAUCAGAAAGCCACGGCUAACUACGUG
Molecule: ribosomal RNA, 497 nt
Filed under: uncultured bacterium
Lineage: Bacteria
Description: partial 16S ribosomal RNA
Rfam family: Bacterial small subunit ribosomal RNA
Source: RNAcentral